Molecule: long non-coding RNA, 365 nt
Filed under: Homo sapiens (human)
Lineage: Eukaryota; Metazoa; Chordata; Mammalia; Primates; Hominidae
Description: HSALNT0333830
Source: RNAcentral
UAUCAAGGUGCCAGCAUCUGGUGAGGGCCUCCAUGCUGUGUCAUCCCAUGGCCAAAGGUGGAAGGGCAAGAGGGCACAAGACAGCAAGGGGAGCCACUGCUGUGUCACAGUGGAAGUGACAGCAGUGACAGGGACCUAGUCUGAUCCACUGGGAUGCAGAUGGAUGGUAGCAUGCUGCAUUAGAAGAGGACACAGAUGCCCCUGCAACUGGAGUCUCCCCAGUGGCUGCUGUCAGCCGGCACGCCCAGCCCCAUCUGGCUCGAGAACUGUCAAAGAUCUCCUACAUCGCACGCCAGCUGAACACGGCCUGCAGACUGAACGUACUGUCCCACACACUUGCACUGCCAUUUUUCAGAUGUCUAAAG